GGGGGGGGGGGGGGGGUUGCUAACUCAACGGUAGAGUACUCGGCUUUUAACCGACUAGUUCCGGGUUCGAGUCCCGGGCAACCCA
This 85-nucleotide transfer RNA is filed under the name Castanopsis hystrix. RNAcentral's name for it is "tRNA-Lys". The stretch from base 14 to 85 matches the Rfam family "tRNA". From Rfam's summary of the family: Transfer RNA (tRNA) molecules are approximately 80 nucleotides in length. The record is from RNAcentral. Lineage: Eukaryota; Viridiplantae; Streptophyta; Magnoliopsida; Fagales; Fagaceae.